Molecule: ribosomal RNA, 253 nt
Filed under: uncultured bacterium
Lineage: Bacteria
Description: partial 16S ribosomal RNA
Rfam family: Bacterial small subunit ribosomal RNA
Source: RNAcentral
UACGGGGGGGGCAAGCGUUGUUCGGAAUUACUGGGCGUAAAGGGCUCGUAGGCGGCCAACUAAGUCGGACGUGAAAUCCCUCGGCUUAACCGGGGAACUGCGUCCGAUACUGGAUGGCUUGAGUAUGGGAGAGGGAUGCGGAAUUCCCGGUGUAGAGGUGAAAUUCGUAGAUAUCGGGAGGAACACCGGUGGCGAAGGCGGCGAUCUGGGUCGAUACUGACGCUGAGGUGCGAAAGCGUGGGGAGCAAACAGG